This 254-nucleotide ribosomal RNA is filed under the name uncultured bacterium. Its description in RNAcentral is "partial 16S ribosomal RNA". It matches the Rfam family "Bacterial small subunit ribosomal RNA", at positions 524 to 776 of the family's 1533-position model. The record is from RNAcentral.
CACGUAGGCACCAAGCGUUGUCCGGAUUUAUUGGGCGUAAAGAGCUCGUAGGCGGUUCAGUAAGUCGGGUGUGAAAACUCUGGGCUUAACCCAGAGCCGCCACUCGAUACUGCUGUGACUUGAGUUCGGUAGGGGAGUGGGGAAUUCCUGGUGUAGCGGUGAAAUGCGCAGAUAUCAGGAGGAACACCGGUGGCGAAGGCGCCACUCUGGGCCGAAACUGACGCUGAGGAGCGAAAGCGUGGGUAGCAAACAGG